Saccostrea cuccullata (small rock oyster) is the source of this 312-nucleotide long non-coding RNA. RefSeq lists it as uncharacterized. The record is from RefSeq and is a predicted model, not a curated record. Lineage: Eukaryota; Metazoa; Mollusca; Bivalvia; Ostreida; Ostreidae. The transcript has 4 exons.
AUAAUGCAAUUUCUGGGAAAAGGUGUAUUUAUAAUCAUACUGGUAUGUGUAUGUCAACAUCUUAUGUAUACUCAAGGCUCGCUUCAAGACCCAGAGAUUCUACGACUUUAUAGAACGCAAAGAAGUGUAUUAGGAGAGCUGAUAAAAUCUAGUGUAUUAGCUUAUUCACAUCAACAGUUUGGACACGGGUUGAACAUUUCUGCCCCUGGAAGAUAGGAGGUACAAAGAUAGGGACAUAAUUAUUACCAGAGCGAAUGUGGAUGAUCUAACCAUUUGUAAAUGGACUUGGAUUAAUGUUUCUGAAGAUGGACG